GCUAGGUGUGGUGGUGCACGCCUGUAAUCUCAGCAGCUUGGGAGGCUGAGACAGGAGGAUUGCGAGUUCAAAGCCAGCCUUAGCAACGGCAAGGUGCUAAGUAACUCAGUGAGACCCUCUCUCUA
Molecule: small RNA, 125 nt
Filed under: Marmota monax (woodchuck)
Lineage: Eukaryota; Metazoa; Chordata; Mammalia; Rodentia; Sciuridae
Source: RNAcentral